This 253-nucleotide ribosomal RNA is filed under the name uncultured bacterium. RNAcentral's name for it is "partial 16S ribosomal RNA". It matches the Rfam family "Bacterial small subunit ribosomal RNA", at positions 524 to 776 of the family's 1533-position model. The record is from RNAcentral.
UACGUAGGUGACAAGCGUUGUCCGGAUUUACUGGGCGUAAAGAGCGCGCAGGCGGUCGAUCAAGUCGCGUGUGAAAGCCCCCGGCUCAACUGGGGAGGGUCACGCGAUACUGAUCGACUCGAAGGCAGGAGAGGGAAGUGGAAUUCCCGGUGUAGUGGUGAAAUGCGUAGAUAUCGGGAGGAACACCAGUGGCGAAGGCGACUUCCUGGCCUGUUCUUGACGCUGAGGCGCGAAAGCUAGGGGAGCAAACGGG